Molecule: small RNA, 491 nt
Filed under: Pan troglodytes (chimpanzee)
Lineage: Eukaryota; Metazoa; Chordata; Mammalia; Primates; Hominidae
Description: processed transcript
Source: RNAcentral
CGUCCGCGCGCCGGCGGGGCGAGGCGGCCUGGCCCUGCGCGUCAGGCCUGAGACCUGGGAGGAAGCUGGAGAAAAGAUGCCCUCUGAAUCUUUCUGUUUGGCUGCCCAGGCUCGCCUCGACUCCAAAUGGUUGAAAACAGAUAUACAGGUAUUGAGUGUUGGUAGAUAUGAGAGUCCAGUGUUUAGAGCUGUGUUGCGUGGCCGGGCGCAGUGGCUCACGCCUGUAAUCCCGGCAGUUUGGGAGGCCGAGGCGGGUGGAUGCCCUGAGGUCAGGAGUUGGAGACCAGCCUGACCAACAUGGUGAAACCCCGUCUCUACUAAAAAUACAAAAUUAGCCAGGCGUGGUGGUGUAUGCCUGUAAUCCCAGCCACUCGGGAGGCUGAGGCAGGAGAAUCGCUUGAACCCGGCAGGUGGAGGUUGCAAUGGGUCAAGAUCAUGCCAUUGCACUCCAGCCUGGACAAUGAGAGCAAAACUGUUUCAAAAAAAAAAAA